AUAUCUCUCUCUUUUCUUUAUUUUGAAUUCCUUUUGUGAAAAUAUCGAUUCCAUCACGACAAGUAUCAAAGGAUAAUUUUAACAUAUAUAUUAGGGCAAACAACAUAAAUUUCGACAGUUUGAAGCUUAGUUAUAGAAAAUUGCGAAAUUUUGUAUAAUUACUGAAAAUUCAGAUUUUGGGUCUGUCGAGAUACAUAAUACAUCCAAC
Molecule: long non-coding RNA, 208 nt
Filed under: Capsicum annuum
Lineage: Eukaryota; Viridiplantae; Streptophyta; Magnoliopsida; Solanales; Solanaceae
Description: long non-coding RNA (CANN_LNC002387)
Source: RNAcentral